This is a long non-coding RNA of Rhagoletis zephyria (snowberry fruit fly), 105 nucleotides long. RefSeq lists it as uncharacterized. Lineage: Eukaryota; Metazoa; Arthropoda; Insecta; Diptera; Tephritidae. The record is from RefSeq and is a predicted model, not a curated record.
AGUGAGUAUAAAAAAAAUACCAAAUUAUUAUUAUUUUUGUUUUUGUAGACGAAAUCUUUCUUAUAUGGCGGAAUAUAGAUCACUUACUAUACUUAUUCUCUCAAU